This is a long non-coding RNA of Pieris napi, 2091 nucleotides long. RefSeq lists it as uncharacterized. The record is from RefSeq and is a predicted model, not a curated record. The transcript is spliced from 2 exons. NCBI's taxonomy places the organism in Eukaryota, Metazoa, Arthropoda, Insecta, Lepidoptera, Pieridae.
AUGGGAUGAUGGAACUGGACAAUUCUAAAAAUGAAUCUAUCUGACAGAUAUUGACGUCUUAAGUUUAAUGGAGGGUCACAACAUUCUAUUUGCAAAGCAUUAACCGGGCUUGAUUUCAUGGCACCAGAAACAAUCCUUAAAGCCCUAGACUGUAUGAGGUCUAGUUUUCUAAAGCCAGCUACAUUACCUGGAUCUAAGAAAAAGGUCCCAAAAUCCAGUACACUUCUAAUAACAGCAUUAUACACCAACCUCAAUGUGGCUGGGUGAGCACCCCACCAAACUCCACUGAGACAUCUCAGCAUGUUCAAGUGUCGCUCACAUUUACCAACUACAAAUUCGCAGUGUGGUUGACCUGUUAGUUUAGAAUCAAGUAUAACUCCUAAGAACUUUACUUGAUUAUAAACGGGUAAUAUAUGACGAUCAUAUGUUAUAGUAGGUGAGGGAGGAGAACGGGAUUUAGUGAAAAGUACAACGGAACUUUUUGAGGGAGACAGAUCUAGGCCAUUUGCAUCCAUCCAGGAUUUUAGCAAAGAUAAAGAGGAGGAAACAUGUUGUUCAGCAAUACUUACACACAUAUCAGAGGCAUAAAUAACUAAGUCAUCGGCAUAUUGUAAUAAACUAACUGAAUCUCCAAUUGAAUCUUCUAGGUCAUAUGUAUAAAUAUUGUACAAUAAAGGGCUCAGAACAGACCCUUGUGGCAAGCCCCUCCAUACCAGCCUACUAGGCAUAUAAGGGCCGCCAACAUCUAAAAUAAUUUUCCUCUCCGAAAGAAGAUUUACAAUGAAAUUAGUUAAAAAAUAAGGAACCUUUAAUUUAUUUAAUUUACUUUUAAGAAUAUGUAACAAAACGUUAUCAUAAGCCGAAUUAAUAUCCAAGAAAGCAGCGACUACUGACUUUUUAUCUGUGAAAGCAUUACGAAUGUCCGUAACUAAUAUGCCUAAAUUGUCACAUACACUUUUACCUUUUCGAAAUCCAAACUGAGUUGGGGACAGAUAUUCGUUAUUUUCUAUAUACCAUUCAAGCCGAUUUUUAAUUAAAUGUUCAACAACUUUUGUUAUCACCGAUGACAAGACAAUCGGACGAUAUGAUUUAAUAUCAGAUCGUACCUUAGACGGUUUUAAAAAUGGCAGCACUAUUUGACUUCGCCAAGAUGGCGGUAUGUCAUUUGUCAAUAGAACUUUAUUUAUUAAAUUUAAAAAGAAAUUUAAUCCAUUUUCACCAAGGUGAGACAGAAAUGAAUAUGGGAUCCCAUCUUCCCCAGGUGCACUGUCACUGACGUAAUUUAAUACACCUUUUAAUUCCACUAACGUGAAAGGUAGAUUUAGAGAGGAAGGGGCGGCAUCAGAGUUAUUUUGUUUAGAAGAGUGGAUAAAAUCUCUAAGUGGAGCAGAAGGAGGAGCCAAGCGAUCAAGGAAUUGAUCAGCUAACUCUAUAGGAAGUAACGACGUAUUAGAAGGAUUGACAGCUGACCUAAAUCUUUUAAUAUUUCGCCAAAUGACAGUUGAAUGUGUUCCAGGUGAUAAGGGAAAUGAAAUGAUUAUUGGAUAAUGAUCACUAUUGUAAGAUGAACACAAAGUAGACCAAGAUAGAGAAGAUGCUAAAUUGGGAGUACAAAUGGACAGGUCAAUGGCACUAAUUGCUUCACCAGGUUUUGUGAGGCGAGUAGGAGAACCCGAGUUUAAAAUGCACAGGUUAUACAUGUCUAAGAUAUCCAAUAAUGCAUACCCAUAACUAUUAGAAACCGAGCUACCCCAAGACGUGUGAUGAGAGUUAAAAUCACCCAGAAUCAUGAAAGGCUGAGGAAGCACUGAAAUUAAGUUUUUAAUUUCAUUGAAAAUUUGCAAGGAGGGGUGAGGGACAUAGAUAGAGACAAAACAGAUAUCAUCAACAAUAGCUGCAAUAAUAGAAAAGCUGUCACUAUGUGAAGGAAGAGGGAAGGAAGAAAAGGUGCUAGAGUUUCUGAUGAGCAGGCAUACACCACCAUACCCAUCAGCCCUGUCUUCUCUUAAGCAUAAAUAACCAGGGAUUUUAAAUACAUGAUCUGGCUUUAACCAGGUUUCAGAUAGAGAAAAAAUAAAAGGAUUAAAAGUA